This 373-nucleotide ribosomal RNA is filed under the name uncultured bacterium. Its description in RNAcentral is "bacterial SSU rRNA". It matches the Rfam family "Bacterial small subunit ribosomal RNA", at positions 526 to 896 of the family's 1533-position model. The record is from RNAcentral.
CGUAGGGUGCAAGCGUUAUCCGGAAUUAUUGGGCGUAAAGAGCUCGUAGGCGGUUUGUCGCGUCUGCUGUGAAAACUGGAGGCUCAACCUCCAGCCUGCAGUGGGUACGGGCAGACUAGAGUGCGGUAGGGGAGAUUGGAAUUCCUGGUGUAGCGGUGGAAUGCGCAGAUAUCAGGAGGAACACCGAUGGCGAAGGCAGAUCUCUGGGCCGUAACUGACGCUGAGGAGCGAAAGCAUGGGGAGCGAACAGGAUUAGAUACCCUGGUAGUCCAUGCCGUAAACGUUGGGAACUAGAUGUAGGGACCAUUCCACGGUUUCUGUGUCGCAGCUAACGCAUUAAGUUCCCCGCCUGGGGAGUACGGCCGCAAGGCUA